This 594-nucleotide ribosomal RNA is filed under the name Candidatus Yanofskybacteria bacterium GW2011_GWA2_44_10. RNAcentral's name for it is "bacterial LSU rRNA". It matches the Rfam family "Bacterial large subunit ribosomal RNA", at positions 1 to 553 of the family's 2925-position model. The record is from RNAcentral. Lineage: Bacteria; Candidatus Yanofskyibacteriota.
GGUUAAGUUACUAAGAGCCAACGGUGGAUGCCUUGGCGCCAGAAGCCUAAGAAGGACGUGACAAGCUGCGAAAAGCCGCGGGGAGGGGCAAAUACCCAUUGAGCCGCGGAUAUCCGAAUGGGGCAACCUUCAUCAGUGCAGCUGAUGAGACUUAAGAUGAAUACAUAGUCUUAAGUAGGGAUACCAGGGGAACUGAAACAUCUUAGUACCCUGAGGAAAAGAAAGAAAUCUCGAUUCUCCAAGUAGUGGCGAGCGAAAGGGGAAGAGCCUAAACCGAUACGGCGUGAUAGCCUGCAGGCGUUUCCGUAUUGGGGUCGUGGGACCCGCAAGUUGCCGUUGCAGAGGCAGCAUGAAGUUACAAAGUACAACUAUAAUUGAACAGUCUGGAAAGAUUGGCCAUAGACGGUGAAAGCCCGGUAAGUGAAAUGGUUGUGCCUUCAAGCGAAGUCCCGAGUACUGCGGAACCCGAGAAAUUCCGUGGGAAUCUGCGUCGACCAUGACGUAAGGCUAAAUACUAACUGGCGACCGAUAGCGUAAUAGUACCGUGAGGGAAAGGUGAAAAGUACCCCGAGAGGGGAGUGAAAUAGAACCUGA